This 334-nucleotide long non-coding RNA is filed under the name Calidris pugnax (ruff). Its description in RNAcentral is "lncRNA (ENSCPUG00000017279.1)". Lineage: Eukaryota; Metazoa; Chordata; Aves; Charadriiformes; Scolopacidae. The record is from RNAcentral.
CCUGCCUUUGCAGCAUCCACAUGAGAUGCUCUGCAAGGUAGCCCCUCUCGGCAAUUCCUGGUUUGAUCGUGGCUGAACCUGGGCUGGAAAGUUACUGUGUUUUUGUUCCUUAGCUAAGUGACCCUGUGGUCUGUGAGAAAUCGAAACCUUCCUGGAAAAGAGGACUCAUUCCUUCCUCCUGGGCUGACUGGAGGCCUGUAGGAUGUCACCCUGAGGCAGGACGUCUUUUCUCAGACAAACAGGAGCCUUUCUGAGAGCACUGCUCCUGACACCACUGCUGAGGCUCAGGAGAGAAGGAAGUGUCUUUUUAACUGAGUUUCAUGGGUUUCGGAGG